CCUACGGGAGGCUGCAGUGAGGAAUAUUGGUCAAUGGCCGGAAGGCUGAACCAGCCAAGUCGCGUGAGGGACGACUGCCCUAUGGGUUUUAAACCUCUUUUAUAAGGGAGGAAUAAAUGCUACGGUUAGCAUUAUGCCUUUACCUUAUGAAUAAGCAUCGGCUAACCCCGUGCAAGCAGCCGCGUUAAUACGGGGGAUGCGAGCGUUAUCCGGAUUUAUUGGGUUUAAAGGGUCCGUAGGCGGUUUUUUAAGUUAGUGGUUAAACGUCGGGGCUUCACCUUGAUUUGCCAUUAAUACUGUAAGACUCGAGUUCAGACGAGGUAGGCGGAAUAAGUUAAGUAGCGGUGAAAUGCUUAGAUAUAACUUAGAACUCCGAUAGCGAAGGCAGCGUACCAGACUGCGACUGACGCUGAAGCACGAGAGCGUGGGUAGCGAACAGGAUUAGAUACCCUGUAGUC
RNAcentral lists this ribosomal RNA (458 nucleotides) under uncultured bacterium. Its description in RNAcentral is "partial 16S ribosomal RNA". It matches the Rfam family "Bacterial small subunit ribosomal RNA", at positions 338 to 795 of the family's 1533-position model. The record is from RNAcentral.